AAUAGAUAUUUAUUUUAAAUUUUCUUAUUUUAAAUUUUAUACCCUAAAUUCUAAAUCAUAGACCCUAAACUCUUAUCUCUACAAGGUUUCUUUUUAUUAUUUUUCUUUAAAUUCAUUAUAUAAUGCAGUUACUUUUCAAUAUACAUGUAUAGUUGGUUAUGGUACAUUGAUUACAUGCAUAUUUUCUUUAUUAACUGUAUCUUCAUCAUUUAUCUCUCCAGAAGAUUUUUGGAUUGAGGAGUUGAAAUUUUUGAAGAAAACCCACCAGGCAUAUUAACUUUCACAUUAUUUUCUCGUCUUCCAUCAUCGAAAUUCAAAGAAUAGCUAGACGGAUCAUAUCGAAACAUGUUUCCGUCACGUGCCGAGUGUUUGCUAGUGUUAUUUCCAUCUUCCAGCUUUCCACACAUGUUUCCCAUUAUUGUUAAAGUCUUUGUAUAGAUUUUGGGUUGUUUUACGAAUGGUGCAAUUCGCUUGAGAAUUGUUCUAAUUGUUGGAACUUUGUCUGCUUUCUACACGUUAGAUAAUGUAAGAAUUGGUAAAUUAUUUGUGUUGGUGCUUUCAUAUAUAUAGAGAGAAAACGAUCUAGUUAUUGAUUUUGCAUGCCUCAUUAAUAUAUCAUUUGGUUUUUGUUGAUAAAGACCUUAAUUAACCUCAUAAAUAAAAAUCGCACGCAUUAGAAUAUUAUGACACAUAGUGUUAAACUUAUCAUGAUUUUAUCAUAUUCAACAGUUUACUAGAUUUUUUUGCAUAUACCGAUAUAAUAUAAUUCACAAGAGAAACUUGUAUUAGAAAAGAAGUUCAACAGAAAAAGCAAAAUAUACUAAAAAAUAUUAUUUUGCUUACUACAAAUAUAUUGUAUUAAUUUUUAGUAGAUUUGCUUUUAAAUUAAAGAUAAGAAAAAUUGUAUUAUGUGUAGCUUUCCAAAAAAAUAAAUUCUAUAGAUAUGUUGUUUUAAAUAAGCUUCACAUACAAACAUGAUAGAAAAUAUAAUCAUAAUUAAAAAAAAUAUUAAAUCAAAUAAAGAAAUUUAAAAUGACGACAAGAAAAUUUUGAGAGUAAAAUUUAUUGGAAAUAUGUAUAAUUAAAUUCAAAUUGUGACACACCAUAUGAUCAGUUUUUCACAUGUAUUCGUUAAUUUAUCAGAUUUUGAUAUGCAUACUAGAAUUUUCGUAAAGAAACAUGCUAUAAUUGAAAAGAUAAAACUGACUAUAAUAUAUAGAUAAAUGUACUGUAUGUUUUUUUUAUCACAAAAAGACUGUUAUAUUACUUAAGCUUGAUGUGGUUUAGAUAACUAGGCCAAAACAAAAUAAUCAAUAAAACAAAGACCAUGAAUUUUAAUGGGCCUUUUGUUUUCUUCUAUUCUUUGAGGGUAUUGAACCGAGUCCCUAAUGAUGUUAGACCAGGUUUUCAGACCGAGUGUAGAAUGAAGCGGAACCCACCUCCAACGAUAGUCAUUUUCUAGAAGAAAAAUAUUUUAGUAUAGCUGCAGGAAGUUACCAUUCAAUACAUAAACGUGGCUGACUCAAUUGAGAGUGCAUCAAGAUGAUACAGUAUGAUGGCAUAAACAGCAGCUGCUAUCUAGCUGCAGCAACAUCACAGGCCAAUAUCUGUAUGGGGGAAGAUAACACGCUGGAUUAUCAACAAGAAAUGGAGGAACAUAAGGAAAAAUAGUGCAUAUUUCGUCAAUUUCUGUG
This 1694-nucleotide long non-coding RNA is filed under the name Brassica napus (rape). RNAcentral's name for it is "long non-coding RNA (BNAP_LNC002357)". The record is from RNAcentral. Lineage: Eukaryota; Viridiplantae; Streptophyta; Magnoliopsida; Brassicales; Brassicaceae.